This 425-nucleotide ribosomal RNA is filed under the name uncultured bacterium. Its description in RNAcentral is "partial 16S ribosomal RNA". It matches the Rfam family "Bacterial small subunit ribosomal RNA", at positions 354 to 796 of the family's 1533-position model. The record is from RNAcentral.
GUGGGGGAUAUUGCACAAUGGGGGAAACCCUGAUGCAGCGACGCCGCGUGAAGGAAGACGUACUUCGGUAUGUAAACUUCUAUCAGCAGGGAAGAAGAUGACGGUACCUGACUAAGAAGCCCCGGCUAACUACGUGCCAGCAGCCGCGGUAAUACGUAGGGGGCAAGCGUUAUCCGGAUUUACUGGGUGUAAAGGGAGCGUAGACGGUGAAGCAAGUCAGAUGUGAAAACCCGGGGCUCAACUCCGGGAUUGCAUUGGAAACUGUUUUACUUGAGUGCUGGAGGGGCAAGCGGAAUUCCUGGUGUAGCGGUGAAAUGCGUAGAUAUCAGGAAGAACACCGGUGGCGAAGGCGGCUUGCUGGACAGUAACUGACGUUGAGGCUCGAAAGCGUGGGGAGCAAACAGGAUUAGAAACCCCAGUAGUCC